This 777-nucleotide ribosomal RNA is filed under the name Triticum aestivum (bread wheat). RNAcentral's name for it is "partial small subunit ribosomal RNA". Lineage: Eukaryota; Viridiplantae; Streptophyta; Magnoliopsida; Poales; Poaceae. The record is from RNAcentral.
AUGGUGUCGUGGAGCGACGAGACCAGUGAGGAUUCAGUGCUGAACAUCUCCUCCUCCUAUGAUGGCAUCAUCAAGCUUCCUGCUACGAUGCACGAUCCGAAUUUCAAUGGCAUUGACGCAGAUGUGAAUGUUUUGUGUGAACACAACUCAAUGGAGAAGGCAUUGGCCAAGCUAUGGGAUAUGUAUGAGGAGAUUAAGUCAGCUAGGACCAAUGACAAUCUAGAGAGUUCAUUUGCAAUCCACAACCUGACAGAAGAGAAGAAGAAACUACAGGAGAAUUAUGACAGUUUGUAUGCUGAUGUGAAUGCUCUUUUGGAUGCCCAGCAGCAGAGGGGUGUGGAGUUAGCCAAUCAAAAGGAGCAGAAGCAAUAUCUUGAAAUUAAGAUUGCCGAGCUAGAAACUGUAGUUGGCAACUUGAAGGUAGAGCUGUCAAAGAAAGAGGAGGAGAAGAAGAAACUACAGGAGAACUAUGACAGUUUGUAUGCUGAUGUGAAUUCUCUCUUGGAUGCCCAACAGCAGAGGGUGGGGAACUUGAAGGCACAACUGUCAAAGACAGAGGAGGAGAAGAAGAAGAUGCUGCAAAACUAUGAAACUCUGAAGAACCUGGCAGGUGCUCAAGCCAAUGUGAUUAGGAACUUGAAGUUCAAUCAUUUGAAGGAGAAGGAGAGGCUGACAGAAGAGAGGCUUAAACUGCAGCAUCACAUUUCUGAGCUUCAAAAGUCUGAGGAAAAGAUAAAGUUGAAGCUUCAGGGUGUGAAGUCCAUCUUAGAUGAGUAG